RNAcentral lists this transfer RNA (64 nucleotides) under Pterolophia sp. ZJY-2019. Its description in RNAcentral is "tRNA-Asp". The record is from RNAcentral. Lineage: Eukaryota; Metazoa; Arthropoda; Insecta; Coleoptera; Cerambycidae.
GAAAAUUUAGUUAAUUUAUAACAUUAGUUUGUCAAGCUAAAAUUAUUAUUUUUAAUAAUUUUCU